Molecule: small RNA, 28 nt
Filed under: Bombyx mori (domestic silkworm)
Lineage: Eukaryota; Metazoa; Arthropoda; Insecta; Lepidoptera; Bombycidae
Description: ovarian small RNA-17645
Source: RNAcentral
GUAGAAGGGAAAAGACCCGCCGGCCGGC